This is a long non-coding RNA of Populus trichocarpa (black cottonwood), 490 nucleotides long. RefSeq lists it as uncharacterized. The record is from RefSeq and is a predicted model, not a curated record. NCBI's taxonomy places the organism in Eukaryota, Viridiplantae, Streptophyta, Magnoliopsida, Malpighiales, Salicaceae. The transcript has 2 exons.
UUUCAACAAAACUAAAUCAGAACAAGGAAACAAUACUAAACGUGCGGUGAUCAAAAGGAGAAAAAAUGGCAUCUAUUUGUCAAGGUAAGAGUUCAUGGCCAGAGCUUCUUGGAGUAGACGGGAAGUGCGCUGUCACAACGAUCGAGAGAGAAAAUCCUCUGGUUGAAGCUAUAAUUGUGCCAGAAGGAUCAUCGAUCAUCGAGAAUUUUCGGUGCGAUAGGGUCUGGGUCUGGGUUGAUAAAGAUGGCAUUGUUUAUAUAGUCCCUGUAAUUGGUUAAGAUCCAAAAACUGCGAUAUAUUCUUGUGAUAAGUGUUAAGGAAUGCUGUGGAAUUGUGGGCUGUUCCUAGAGUAAAAGAAUAAAAUGAAAUAAGGAGCUUGGAUCCAAUCUCCAUGUCUGUAUUGCAAUCUUGAUAAAAGUUGUGUUAAUUUCUCUAUGUUUUUCCAUUGAACUUAAUUAAUUAUAAAUAUACACCACCCUUAAUAGAGUUA